CCAGUGGAGGUGCUGUUACCUG
This 22-nucleotide microRNA is filed under the name Oryzias latipes (Japanese medaka). RNAcentral describes it as "ola-miR-194-3p". Its record names the gene ola-miR-194-3p. Lineage: Eukaryota; Metazoa; Chordata; Actinopteri; Beloniformes; Adrianichthyidae. The record is from miRBase by way of RNAcentral.